CGAAGCGAGAGAACGUUGCCGCAGGCAACGGCCCGAAGGGCGAAGCGCUUUAGCGCCGAGUAAUCCUUCCCCCACCACUG
This 80-nucleotide small RNA is filed under the name Klebsiella pneumoniae. Its description in RNAcentral is "partial RtT sRNA". It matches the Rfam family "RtT RNA", at positions 53 to 130 of the family's 130-position model. From Rfam's summary of the family: This family represents a bacterial cis-regulatory element known as RtT RNA. The record is from RNAcentral. RNAcentral also lists the same sequence under 1 other name. Lineage: Bacteria; Pseudomonadati; Pseudomonadota; Gammaproteobacteria; Enterobacterales; Enterobacteriaceae.